UGGUGAUGAUGGCUGAAUGGAUCCACCUGUUCCCAUGCCGAACACAGUAGUUAAGCAUUCAUACGCCGAAAGUACUUGCUUGGAGACGAGCUGGGAGGAUAGGACAUUGCC
This 111-nucleotide ribosomal RNA is filed under the name bovine gut metagenome. The record is from RNAcentral.